UCUAGAGUUUAGUAUCAAUUC
This 21-nucleotide small nuclear RNA is filed under the name Arabidopsis thaliana (thale cress). Its description in RNAcentral is "snRNA_04836". Lineage: Eukaryota; Viridiplantae; Streptophyta; Magnoliopsida; Brassicales; Brassicaceae. The record is from RNAcentral.